Molecule: ribosomal RNA, 385 nt
Filed under: Schizomyia sasakii
Lineage: Eukaryota; Metazoa; Arthropoda; Insecta; Diptera; Cecidomyiidae
Description: partial 12S ribosomal RNA
Source: RNAcentral
UUUAAAAUAUUAAAAACGACGGGCAAUAUGUGCAUAUUUUUAAUAAAAAUUCAAUUAAAAAAUUUAUUUAAAAAAUUUAUUUUUAAAUCCAAUUUCAAAAAUUUAUUUCAAAAAUUUAUUCAAAAAUUUUUGAAAUAAAGUAUUUCAUUAAAGUUUUAAUUAUAAAAUAUAUUAUGAUUUGAAUUUUUUUUUUUAAUAAAAUUAAAAUAAUAAUAAUUUAUAAAUAUUAUUUAUACAACAAUAUAUAAUUAAAUUAAAUUAAAUAAAUUUUAUUGUGUAUUAUCAAAUUAAUAAACAAAAUCCUUUAAUUUUUAAAAAUACUACCAAAUAAUUUAAUUUUAUUUUAUUAUUUUAAUAAUUAAACUAUAAAUUAUAAAUAAUAAUA